AUGCUCACUCUGGCAGCACAUAUACUAAAACUGGAACAAUACAGAGAAGAUUAGCAUGGCCCCUGAUCAAGAAUGAAUUAUCAAGCCCUCUUCUCU
Molecule: small nuclear RNA, 96 nt
Filed under: Catagonus wagneri (Chacoan peccary)
Lineage: Eukaryota; Metazoa; Chordata; Mammalia; Artiodactyla; Tayassuidae
Source: RNAcentral